UGAUUGUUACUAAUGUUAUAUGAAUGCUUUGACAAGAUUGUUUUAAACUAUUUUAAACAUUUCUUGUUGAUAAGCUGAUCAUAUAAUGUAAGUUGUCUGAUUUUUGUGAUAAGAAUUAUUAUUAAGAUGUUAAGGUAUUGAGGUGUUGUUUUAAUAUUUAUAGUCAGUUUUCAUAUGUUUUAUUUUUUUUUUUUUAGGUGCUUGAUUGUAAGAUGUAUUUUUCAGGAUCCUGUGUGUUUGAUUUUUUAACUACUCAUGUGUUUUCUUUAUUCAAUCUUCUAUGCAGCUGCAGUUCACCUUCUUUUAAAAAUUUAUAGUCCAAGUUCUGGUUCAAGAUUUCAGACUUCAAAUUUUCAGAUUUUUGAAGAAAAGGUUUGUUGUAUUUAGAGAAUUUUUGUUUUAAAAAGAAAUUUUAAACAGGUUCAAUUAUUUGAUGUUUUGAUAAAUUGUUAAUAAUAAGGUUUUUCACUUAUAACUGUUAUUUUUAAGACUUUUGUUUUAAACAUAUCCUCCAAUUAGAGUUCGAGCUCUGGCCAGGCUCUGGCUCUACGUGGAUGGUGUGAUUGAUCCAGGUGUUUUCUGCAUCAAAAAAGUAUUCAAGUCCUUUUGGCUUGACAAUUUGACCAUACAGGACAGCUGAGCCUCAAAGGGAGUUUGGAGAAACAUGAUCCGGACAUGUUUUAUCCAAAUCUCUGUUGUUUUAAGGUUUUUCAGCUGCUGCAGACUCUGGGAUGACAAUUUGAUAGUGUAGCACUUGAUAACUGUGAUUUUAUAUGUAAUAUUGAUUGUGUAUUAUUUGAUUGAUUUUUAUUUGUUGUUAGUUUCUUUACUAUGUGCAUUGUUUUGUUCUUAAUGUUUUUUCAUGUUUAUAACAAAGAUGUUGAUAUUUCCAUUUCUUCAUGCAAGUUUUAGGGAACAGAAUUGAGAGAGGACCCUCCAGUCCCAGUGGGGGUGUUGGGUUUGUUUGUGUUUUAACAGGUGCAGAAUCUAGAUGGAUUUCAGUGAAGAAUGUGGAACUUAUCAAUUGCAAGAGGGCACUGAUCUCUCCACAAGUGGAUCAGAGGAUGCACAGCAAAAGUGGAUUGUGCAAAGAUUUGUGUUUCACCCACAAAAGAUCGUGGGCUUUGAGGUUUUUUUUUAAGUGUGUUUUUAAUGAUGUUAUAGAAUUUUUUUUUGCUAAGUUUUAAUAAGUUUUAGUAAUGCCUGUGAUUUUUCUGUUCAUCUUGCCAUUGUCUUUCAAUGGCAAAAGAAAAAGAGGGAGGUCCCAACGUGGAUCAACAGAAAUUCUACUUGAGUGAGUGUUUUUACCCGUCCGACCAAGACGUCUGGGCAGGACAGAUGCUCUUGCUGCAUUGAUACGAAAAGGCAGAAACAGAAUUUUAAAAAUAGAUGAAAAAGAUAUCAACCCGCAGUGAUAACAACGUGAACAACAACAGUUUGCCUGGAACAUCCCUGAUGAAUCCAGUUCUGAUGAAAAUUAAUUUUGUAGAGUACAGAAAAAUAAGUUGAAAUAUUAUAAGUGUGAAGUUAGUUUUAUCAGAAGUUAGUUUAUUAGAAGUUAUAGUUUAUGUUUAGAAUUAAGAUUGUUUCUUUCAUGUUAGACAGGGCAUUCAAGAACCUGAGAAGAAUGUGGUGGGCCUCAAUGUUUUUAUUUCGUACUUGUUUAAUUGGAGUCUCGUUGGGUCCCAUUGCAGAGUUCAAAACUUGGACCCGAGCUCAAAUAAAUUUAAAUAGCACUCUGGGAGCGCAAGCUGUUGCAUUUGUGCAAAACCUUAAAUUUACUGAUGACAGUUUUCAAGAAUUUGGUCUUUUGGGUUCUGUCCCAGGAAAUUACUGUUUGAUAUUUGGAUCUUAUGCUACCAAACCAACUCAAGAACAUGGAAAAUUGACAGAUGACGACACUUGGUUGUCUCCCAGAUCACCAUUGUAUUACAACUAUUUAGAAUAUUGUAACAAUUCGACUCCAAGAGGUAGUGCAGGAAAACUGCCCCCAGGAACCUUCCUCAUUUGUGGGGACCGAGCCUGGUCAGCAGUCCCUCAAAAUGCUAGAGGAGGCCCAUGUUAUAUCGGUAGGUUGAUGCUUUUUGUUCCCACCAUACAGCAGGUUCUCGAAUUGCCUCAGAAGACUCAACGAGCCAAACGCAGUGUUCUCCAAAUGGACACUUCAUUUGAUAACUGGCUCAAUUCUUUAGGUUUUUCUGGCUGGUGUGUGCAAAAAUUAGUUCAUUGCGCCUUCACUCCAGCCUGAGUAGCUCAAAAGAAAAAGAGGGAAUUGUUGCAGCAUUUUUGAGAGAAAGAGGGCAUGAAUUGUGAAAGUUGAGCUACUCCAGUCUAGGCCUCAGAUUGAGGCCUGGUGGGGCCUUCAAAGCCUCUGACGCAGUUAGAAAUUCAGAGCUUGUGGCGCAGAUAGAAAAUAGUCUUAAGGUGUUGUGGGGACCACUGGGUGUGAACUAGUAUAGGUUUUAUGGUGUAAAGUGUAGGCCGUUUUAAGGAAAAGGUAAACAAUGUUAGCCUACCAAUCAGAGUGUCUUUGUUUCUGUAAACUAUGUGGAAGCUUAUA
Molecule: long non-coding RNA, 2560 nt
Filed under: Taeniopygia guttata (zebra finch)
Lineage: Eukaryota; Metazoa; Chordata; Aves; Passeriformes; Estrildidae
Description: lncRNA (ENSTGUG00000027060.1)
Source: RNAcentral